Alosa alosa (allis shad) is the source of this 579-nucleotide long non-coding RNA. RefSeq lists it as uncharacterized. The transcript is spliced from 3 exons. NCBI's taxonomy places the organism in Eukaryota, Metazoa, Chordata, Actinopteri, Clupeiformes, Clupeidae. The record is from RefSeq and is a predicted model, not a curated record.
AUUUAAACGCAAUUUUAGCUUCCACCUUUUUCCUAAAUACACCAGCCUACGGCAUGACAUGAAAGACGAACUUCGUUUUUGUGUUAUGGUGGGUGAACGACACGUUUCUCGCUCGUUGUAAUCGCUUUUAAAAAAACACCUGAAGAUGAAUGCUUCAGUUGCUGUAGGUGCAUUGGAUACAGCUCACACGAGGAUAGUGGAACUGGAGGUGCUGGUGUUGUCACAACUUCAAUGAAGGACUCGUCUCACCAAAUCCUCUCCUCUACACGGAAAUGUCUGACUUGGUGUCAGUGACUGUCACACCAGGGAAGGCCAGUGACCACAAGCUGACCUUGCACCUGGGUGAAAUUCCGGUGACUCAUUUUUAGUUGAGGUUUCCUCCCAACGAACUUGAUGUGAGGUGCCUUGUGAUGCUGGUGAUGUCUGGCCAUUUCACCUCCAUUAGUACAAAGUGGGGAACCUGCAAAGAUCAACCACCUGACAAUCUAGGCUUGCACCCAGAUGUAUCAUAACGAUGCUGCAGUGGGAGACCUUGACCUACCAGAAAUCCACGUAGUGGUGGAGCACUUCUGGCUCCAG